This 441-nucleotide long non-coding RNA is filed under the name Homo sapiens (human). Its description in RNAcentral is "long non-coding RNA NONHSAT182531.1". The record is from RNAcentral. Lineage: Eukaryota; Metazoa; Chordata; Mammalia; Primates; Hominidae.
CUAACACAGGCACCGACUGCACCAAGCAGGAUUCUGGAAGCUGAGGUUACAGUGGAGAAGGAAACAGGUUUCAUGCUGAGAUGUCAUCCUCGGUGUUGGAGAUGGAACCUGGUGGGAGGUGUUUUGGUCUUGGGGGUGGAUCUCUCAGGGCUUGUUGCUGUCCUUGAGAUAGUGAGUGCCAUGGAAUCUGUGAAAGGAGGUAGAAAGUCCAGAUCUGGCCGGGCACAGUGGCUCAUGCCUGUAAUACCAGCGGAGCAGCUGCUCUGUCCUAUAAGGUGGCGUAAGUAUGGAGAACAGGCCCAGACUCUUCCUAACAGCCCACGGGAGCCAGCAGGAGCCAGCAGGAGGCCAGUGGGGAUGGAGAGAGGAUGGCACAAAGGGACGGCAAGGUCCGGCAGGGGUUGGGAACACUGAGGCAGCCGCAGACUCUACAAGGUCUCC